AUCUUAUUUUCUGCUACAUUGGCUUUUGGCUUGAUAGGAAUUAAAUUUGGCUCAUCAAAGUUUUGCACGGCUUCAUAGUGGUUUCUUUGGAAUUCCUCAUUUGUUCUCCAUUGUCAAGCUUCUAGGAUUGAGAUCUCUGCCUUGGCUUAUUAGGGCACUUCUCGAUCAUAUAUCAAAUAAGCUAACAACACUUGAACCAAUGCUCACUGGAUUGCAAGAA
This is a long non-coding RNA of Humulus lupulus (European hop), 220 nucleotides long. RefSeq lists it as uncharacterized. The record is from RefSeq and is a predicted model, not a curated record. The transcript is spliced from 2 exons. Lineage: Eukaryota; Viridiplantae; Streptophyta; Magnoliopsida; Rosales; Cannabaceae.